This 247-nucleotide ribosomal RNA is filed under the name uncultured bacterium. Its description in RNAcentral is "partial 16S ribosomal RNA". It matches the Rfam family "Bacterial small subunit ribosomal RNA", at positions 526 to 771 of the family's 1533-position model. The record is from RNAcentral.
CGUAUGGUGCAAGCGUUAUCCGGAUUUACUUGGGUGUAAAGGGAGCGCAGGCGGUGCGGCAAGUCUGAUGUGAAAGCCCGGGGCUCAACCCCGGUACUGCAUUGGAAACUGUCGUACUAGAGUGUCGGAGGGGUAAGCGGAAUUCCUAGUGUAGCGGUGAAAUGCGUAGAUAUUAGGAGGAACACCAGUGGCGAAGGCGGCUUACUGGACGAUAACUGACGCUGAGGCUCGAAAGCGUGGGGAGCAA